Molecule: non-coding RNA, 3675 nt
Organism: Phalacrocorax carbo (great cormorant)
Lineage: Eukaryota; Metazoa; Chordata; Aves; Suliformes; Phalacrocoracidae
Source: RefSeq, a predicted model, not a curated record
CCGGCCGACCUCCGAUUCGAACACGGCCCUCCGUGGCGCAUCGAUGCCCAACCUCCCCUGGAAACCCUCCGUGCCUUCGGCCAACUUGUGCCACCCCUGGAAAGGGGACGAUGGCACGGUGGAGAUGGUGUCGGUGGCUGACCUGCCCGGGAGAAGGCAGGGGCAGAGCUGAGCAGCACCCGCCAGCCUCAGACCUCACAGCUCCUGCCAUCACCCUGAGACAUCUUCUGAAGCUCUUCCAGCUUCUGCAGAAAGGUGGUGGCAAAAGAAGAGGUACUGAGAAGAAGACAGCAUCUCCUCACCUUGAUUUUGUGUCCUCCUAUGCUGUCUGCUGGAUUGGAGCCUGGAGCUGCCUGCCUGACCCCAUCCCCUUUGGACAGCUCAUGGUUUGUGCUGCAGAGGGAACAAAUCAUCCUGCCAGGCGGUUGGUGAUCACCAAACGGGGCAAGUCCAGCCCAGCAGGACACACACAAGACACAGCCACGUGAGGGCUCAACCUAGCCUCCUCCAUGCUCAUGUUUUCUGCCUGUCCCAGGAGACAUGUCCUCGUGCACAUACCUAAGCAAAGCUGAAUAUGCCCCAAAUGGUCGUUAGGUGUCAGCAGUACUGAAAAGUGAUUCAGAAACUCCUGUCUUUGAUUCUUACUCAUUUUUCAUCAGAUUUUUGCCCAAGCCGAAGAACUACUUUUGCUUAUACUGGCCUUUCCGUGAAGGCGUUGUGGUUUAGCCCCAGUCAGCAACUAAGGACCACACAGUGGAUUGGUUACAUCCCCACCCCCACCCCCCGGUGGGAAGGGGGAGAAAAUCAGAAGAGUAGAAGUGAGGAAAAUCAUGAGCUGAGAUAAAGACAGUUUAAUAGGUAAAGCAAAAGCUGCACACACAAGCAAAGCAAAACAAGGAAUUCAUUCACUUCUUCCCAUUGGCAGGCAGGUGUUCAGCCAUCCCCAGGGAAGCAGGGCUCCAUCACAUAUAACAGUUACUUGGGAAAACAAAUGCCACAAUUCCAAACGUCGUGUGUCCCCCCCCUUCUUCUUCCCCCAGCUUUAUAUGCUGAGCAUGACAUCAUAUGAUAUGGAAUAUACCUUUGGCCAGUUUGGAUCAGCUCUCCUGGCUGUGUCCCCUCCCAGCUUCUUGUGCACCUGGCAAAGCAUGGGAAGCUGGAAAAGUCCUUGAUUAGUAUAAGCACUACUUAGCAACAACUGAAACAUCGGUGUGUUAUUAACAUUAUUCUCAUACUAAAGUCAAAACACAGCACUGUCCCAGCUACAGUGAAGAAAAUGAACUCUAUUCCGGCCAAAAUCAUGACAGAAGGGCUUGGUAACACUGUUAAAUUCAACAAGAAAGAGGUGUUAGGCCACAGUCUAACUGCUGUGUGACACAGGUAAGGCCGGUUUAGUUGAGCUGAAACGCGGCAGCCUGUGUUAAGCAGCCAGGGCUGGCCUGGGGCUGUGCAGCCUUCCUCUUGCAGACACCACACGAAUGUUUUGGCAAAAACACACUGUGGUUCGCUCGCUGCAGAGGACAGAGAUGGCAAACUCAUACCACCAGAGCUGAUGGCAGAGCCGGGACCAAGUGUGCAGCAGCAUCUCUUGUGCUUGGUUCCACUUUUCUCAGAGGACCUCUGUAUUCAGCCAUGUGUCUUGAAUGAUUUUUGCCUCCUCUUACACCCCAUUCCUUCAGCUUUUCUCCCUACCAUGCAGGAACUGGUGAAGCUUUAAAAACUCCAGAGAUGUGAUAGUAAAGAAGUAGGUCUUCAGAAAAGUUCUAAGUUGUUCUCCUAAAAGCACUCAUAUUUGGUUGAGUCAGGAAGUAGUUUGCUGGCAGCAAAAUUGCUUGUAUUCCAUAAAGCACAAAUGAGUCCUGUUUCAUGCUUCAAGCUUGCCAAGAUAUCCUUCAACAACUCCAUCCCCGGGAACUUUUACUGAAAAACCAGCAGCAGCAGCGCAGCUGCACCCCAGCUACCUUUGGACCCCCCCAAGCUGGACCCCAAGGAUAAAACAGAGACGGUCAUUCUAGAUAUGGUCCCAAAAGUCAGAUGUUAAUCAAAAUUAAACAGCAUCUGGGAUUGGUAUGCAUCAGUCUUCCCCAGAGGGGGGGAUUUUUGAGUAAGCCAUCAAAAUAUUUCCUAAGUAAGACCACAAAAAGCCCACAUACACAAUCAGGUCAAAAAUUUCCCUAGUGCAGGAUGAUGCUGAUGUAAGUUUCCUUUGAGACACAGUUGUCUCACAUUGCCUGUGCUGCAGCGUCUUCAGCUUCUGCAGUCAACUCCACUUAUGUCCUAAUUAGGAUGAGGUUUUUUCCUGUUGGUGUGAUGCAUCCAGCCGUUACUCUGCGACGCUCAUCUUGACAAUAGUAAAGGUGAAGCCAAGGUGGUGGCAGGCUCUUUGGUAGCUCUGUGAUCCAGAGGAUAUGGUCCAUGACUCAGGCCGCCUCAGGCACUCACAGCAAGCUGUGCUGCUCUGCUAGGAUCUCUGGAGGAGAAGCCCAAACCUUUUCCUCCCUUCCAGACCUUCUACCACAGAAGGACCACUGCUGGGGCUGGCACAGCCCCUCGCUGGUCUCACCCGCAUGGCUGGCUGUGCUGUGUCAUGGCUCUGGUGAGACCUGCCAUCCCAUGCUGGGUGACAAACGCUUUGCAUGACAACCCCAGCCGUGACAUACCCACCUCUCCUGGUUUGAAUGCUACUCUCAUGAGUGCAAAGUCCCCAUAACUGCUUCCUUCACCCCAGCAAGGUGUCGCUUGUAGCAAAGAAUUUGUCUUUGAAGUAAAUGCCUUUUCAAGCAAAGUCAGAGGUUUGCACAAGACAGUUAUUAUUGUACCUCACAGAAAAUUUGGUUUUAAUGGAAAAAAGCUGUGAAACAAGCCAUGAUGCCUCAAAAUCUCAGGUGGGUGUUCUGUGAUGCCAGCACAGCAAAUCUUAAAACACCCAAGAAGAGAUGUGACAGAUCACCUCCACUGGGUUGCCAGGAACCCAAUCCAGCCCUGCACUGAUGAGCUCCUCCUUGAUCUAACCACCACCAACCCAUCGUACUGACUUCUCCAUAAAAGCACCAUUUUUGGGUAGUGCCAUCAAACCCCCAAGGUGUGGCAGACCAGGACUUCUUCACAGGGAGAACUACAGAAGAGGAAUUAAAGCCACUGACACACCCAUCUGCUUCCCCUUGGCACAGCUUUACACCACACACCUCCUGAGAAGCAGCAGCUGAAGCUCUCACCCUUGGACACCAUCCUGCCCAUCUACUCCUUUUCCUCACACCCAGCUUUAAGAUUAGACCCAGUGUCACUUUGUCCUUUUUUUUUUAAGCCUUGUGCCAUACGUUCUGGGCAACUCAGGAACCUGUGGCCAGGCAGAUCCCACAUAAACCUUUAAUUCUUUUGGUUUUUUUGAUAGGAAAGUAUUCCUGCAGCUUCUCAGCAGGAUUAAAAAAAGUGCACCUGAGCUUGGUGCCACUACCCUCCAGAUCUGCCUGUAACCAAGCAGCCAUCAGAAUCAGCUUGGGUUGUAAAACUGAAGAAACACUUUAAAGGACUGUGCUGAAAUCUUGAAAUUUUAUUUCAACAAAAGUGUUCUGACAAAAUGCUUUAUUUUGACCCUGAAUAAUUCAGAACACUGAAGAGCUACAAUUAUUUUUUUAUUGAGUAGGCAUUUAUAGCUAUGUGUUCAGAAAAAAACAA